RNAcentral lists this unclassified non-coding RNA (359 nucleotides) under Bombus terrestris (buff-tailed bumblebee). Its description in RNAcentral is "misc RNA ENSBTSG00005038481.1". The record is from RNAcentral. Lineage: Eukaryota; Metazoa; Arthropoda; Insecta; Hymenoptera; Apidae.
AUAAAAUCGGAACGGCGAUCUUUUAUAAAAUCAUUGACAUUUUCAAGUAAGCGGUACGUCAGUAUGUAUUAUAUACAUCUGCCAUUCCGAGUCUGUGAUUCUCUUCUAAUAGGUUAACUUUUAUUAUAGAGGCAAACGUUGGAGUUUUUCUGGCGAGCGAAUCGGCACCGUAUGCGUCCUUAUGGCGCUUAUAAUCCAAAUACAAUAGUUUGGAAAGUCCGUAGUAGAUGUUCUCGGCGACGGUUACCGAAUCGCUUUGGGCUGUCUCGGGUUGACCGAGAACUUUGAUCCGUUUCCUGGUGACCGUCUUUGGCGGCUUCCCGGGAAACUUGGACCUUCCCAUGUUCACUUUUUUCAAC